RNAcentral lists this ribosomal RNA (589 nucleotides) under Trichoderma citrinoviride. RNAcentral describes it as "eukaryotic LSU rRNA". The stretch from base 206 to 359 matches the Rfam family "5.8S ribosomal RNA". The record is from RNAcentral. Lineage: Eukaryota; Fungi; Ascomycota; Sordariomycetes; Hypocreales; Hypocreaceae.
CCAACCCAAUGUGAACGUUACCAAUCUGUUGCCUCGGCGGGAUUCUCUGCCCCGGGCGCGUCGCAGCCCCGGAUCCCAUGGCGCCCGCCGGAGGACCAACUCAAACUCUUUUUUUCUCUCCGUCGCGGCCUACGUCGCGGCUCUGUUUUAUUUUUGCUCUGAGCCUUUCUCGGCGACCCUAGCGGGCGUCUCGAAAAUGAAUCAAAACUUUCAACAACGGAUCUCUUGGUUCUGGCAUCGAUGAAGAACGCAGCGAAAUGCGAUAAGUAAUGUGAAUUGCAGAAUUCAGUGAAUCAUCGAAUCUUUGAACGCACAUUGCGCCCGCCAGUAUUCUGGCGGGCAUGCCUGUCCGAGCGUCAUUUCAACCCUCGAACCCCUCCGGGGGGUCGGCGUUGGGGAUCGGCCCCUCACCGGGCCGCCCCCGAAAUACAGUGGCGGUCUCGCCGCAGCCUCUCCUGCGCAGUAGUUUGCACACUCGCACCGGGAGCGCGGCGCGGCCACAGCCGUAAAACACCCCAAACUCUGAAAUGUUGACCUCGGAUCAGGUAGGAAUACCCGCUGAACUUAAGCAUAUCAAUAAGCGGAGGAA